CGGGACGGGUGAGUAAUGUCUGGGAAACGUGCCUGAUGGAGGGGGGUAACUACUGGAAACGGGGGCUAAUACCGCAUAACGUCGCAAGACCAAAAGAAGGGGGGAACCUCGGGGCCUCUUGCCAUCGGAUGUGCCCAGAUGGGAUUAGCUAGUAGGUGGGGUAACGGCUCACCUAGGCGACGAUCCCUAGCUGGUCUGAGAGGAUGACCAGCCACACUGGAACUGAGACACGGUCCAG
This 238-nucleotide ribosomal RNA is filed under the name uncultured bacterium. RNAcentral describes it as "partial 16S ribosomal RNA". It matches the Rfam family "Bacterial small subunit ribosomal RNA", at positions 100 to 334 of the family's 1533-position model. The record is from RNAcentral.